CGGUAGGGGAGCGUCGUAAUCGGGCUGAAGUCGUACCGUAAGGAGCGGUGGACUGAUUACGAGUGAGAAUGUUGGCAUUAGUAGCGAGAUGUAGGUGAGAAUCCUACAGGCCGAAUAUCUAAGGUUUCCUCAGGAAGGCUCGUCCGCUGAGGGUUAGUCGGGACCUAAGCCGAGGCCGAAAGGCGUAGGCGAUGGACAACAGGUUGAUAUUCCUGUACCACUACCAUCGUUAUUAUCGAGGGUGUGACGGAGAAGGAUAGUGUGUGCUAGCGAUUGGAAAUGCUAGUCUAAGCGUUUAGGCAGUUACGGUAGGCAAAUCCGCUGUAACGUUAAUGCUGAGGCGUGAUGGGGAAGGCCCUUGAGGCUGAAGUACAUGAUUCCAUGCUUCCAAGAAAAGCAUCUAGAGAGAGAAGUAGUGCCCGUACCGCAAACCGACACAGGUAGAUGAGGAGAGAAUCCUAAGGCCGGCGGAAGAAUUGCAGUUAAGGAACUAGGCAAAUUGACCCCGUAAGUUAGCGAGAAGGGGUGCCUGCGAGAGCAGGCCGCAGAGAAUAGGCCCAAGCAACUGUUUAGCAAAAACACAGGUCUCUGCUAAAGCGCAAGCUGAUGUAUAGGGGCUGACGCCUGCACGGUGCUGGAAGGUUAAGGGGAACACUUAGCGCAAGCGAAGGUGUGAACUUAAGCCCCAGUAAACGGCGGCCGUAACUAUAACGCUCCUAAGGUAGCGAAAUUCCUUGUCAGGUAAGUUCUGACCCGCACGAAUGGCGUAAUGACUUGGGCACUGUCUCAACUGCAAAUCCGGCGAAGUUGUAGUGCGAGUGAAGAUGCUCGCUACCCGCGAUUGGACGGAAAGACCCCGUAGAGCUUUACUGUAGCUUAGCAUUGAAUUCCGGUAUUGUCUGUACAGGAUAGGUGGGAGACUGGGAAACUAGGGCGUCAGCCUUAGUGGAGUCGUCCUUGGGAUACCACCCUGACAGUACUGGGGUUCUAACAGGACGCCAUGAAUCUGGUGACUGGACAUUGUUAGGUGGGCAGUUUGACUGGGGCGGUCGCCUCCUAAAAAGUAACGGAGGCGCCCAAAGGUUCCCUCAGAACGGUCGGAAAUCGUUCGUAGAGUGCAAAGGCAGAAGGGAGCCUGACUGCGAGACCUACAAGUCGAGCAGGGACGAAAGUCGGGCUUAGUGAUCCGGUGGUACCUCGUGGGAGGGCCAUCGCUCAACGGAUAAAAGCUACCUCGGGGAUAACAGGCUGAUCUCCCCCAAGAGUCCACAUCGACGGGGAGGUUUGGCACCUCGAUGUCGGCUCGUCGCAUCCUGGGGCUGUAGUAGGUCCCAAGGGUUGGGCUGUUCGCCCAUUAAAGCGGCACGCGAGCUGGGUUCAGAACGUCGUGAGACAGUUCGGUCCCUAUCCGUCGCGGGCGUAGGAAAUUUGAGAGGAGCUGUCCUUAGUACGAGAGGACCGGGAUGGACUGACCUCUGGUGCACCAGUUGUUCUGCCAAGAGCAUGGCUGGGUAGCUAAGUCGGGAAGGGAUAAACGCUGAAAGCAUCUAAGCGUGAAGCC
RNAcentral lists this ribosomal RNA (1561 nucleotides) under human gut metagenome. RNAcentral describes it as "bacterial LSU rRNA". It matches the Rfam family "Bacterial large subunit ribosomal RNA", at positions 1226 to 2794 of the family's 2925-position model. The record is from RNAcentral.